Molecule: long non-coding RNA, 29759 nt
Filed under: Linum usitatissimum (flax)
Lineage: Eukaryota; Viridiplantae; Streptophyta; Magnoliopsida; Malpighiales; Linaceae
Description: long non-coding RNA (LUSI_LNC007437)
Source: RNAcentral
GAAGAUCAAGUUUCAAAUGUCGAGUCAAGAUGAUAUUUCAAAGAAUUGAUUCAUGAUGAAAUUUGUAACAACUAGAUGGUUCGAAUAUUGAAAAACAAUUUCGGAAUUAAUAAAAACAUUUAUGGCUUGUUUGGCAAGUGAAAUGUAAGAUGAAAUUUUAAGCAUUUUCCAUUCGUUUGGUGGUGCCUACGUGACAAAGUUGUCGGAGACUCGACACGCUAUGAUACAUGGGACCACCUCGUAAUGUAAAAAAAUAGAACGGGACAACUCUACAUCAUUUUAAAAAGUACAGGACUAAUCGGUAAUCCGCCUCAAAUUUACUGGAUGAAUGGAGCAUUUGACCGGUACUAAAAACAGGGCGAUGAGGAAACAGGAAAGGACAAAAAAAACCUCCACCAUUGCCAUUGUUUGCCAUGCACGUCGAUCCGAGCAGAAUCCAACCUCCAUUUCAUUUUCAACGCCCAAUCUCAUCGGCUGCAAUGGUGAAGGUCGUAGUAGGAGACGAAGUUCAACUCAAAUUGGCAGAGGACCGCCUUACUCAUUCUGGUUUCACCGCCCAGGUCUUCCCCCGGCCCCUUUCUUUCCUCAAUCCAUUGAUCGCUGCGUACUUUUAAAUCGUUCAUUCUCGGAGUGAAUUGUUUAUGUUUUGUGUUGAUUAGGUCGGCUUGGUGAUUGGAAAGCUCAGUUCCCAAUUGGACCGAGGUUUCGUCUUCGAUUUGGUUCCCACUCCGUUGAACGACGCCGGCGAGCCCGCUUGUUCAGUCGUCGACACCAAAGAUGACAAGGAAAGGACUGGCUCUAAAUCCAAAUCCCAGGUCUCUGAUGCUUCCACUUUGCUUAUCGACAUGGACUGGGUAGCUAAACACGCUCGCCAGGUAUUCUUUGAAUUCCUCAUCCCUUCAUAUGCCAUUUUACAUGAAUGAUAUAUGUUUCUAAUUGAUUGCGAAAACAAUCGUUAUGGGGAUUUCUAGGUUUCCAGAAUGUUGGUAGGUGGGAUGAACGUGGUGGGAGUUUAUGUUUGGGUUAGUGAUACAUCAUUCAAGAACUCAACCAUUACCCUUUGCCAGGUAGCUUCGUUGGACCUUCUCUUUCUUAGGGUUUCCUGUUUUCUUAGAGCAAUGUCCUAUGCAUUCCGAGCUGAUUUGUGUGUCAUUAGCGGUACUAGCUUUUGCAGACAGUGCAAGGAGUUGCAGAAGCCGCCCCUAUUCUAGAGGGGGAUUUGGAUCAAAGGCUGCUUCUUCAUAUAUCUUAUAGUCCCAGAAGGUAACUUUUUUUUUCUCUGUUGGCCUACAUUUGUUGCUUCUUAUGUUGACUGAAAGUUGAUCUUUGUGUGUAGGUGGACGUGUCGGAAUUGUUUGCUGUCUUCAAGCAUCACAUCAAGCAGCAUACGGCCCUGUGAUUUCAAACUAGGGAAGGUCUUAAACUCUGUACAGAGAUUUAGGUGCAUUUACAAAUUUGAACUCAGGUAGGAAUAUAUAAAAUCUGUGCUCUGUACUUUGCAUUCUUGAUAGUGUGGUAGCUUCCAUAACUCAUCAAGUCUUAUACUUCCAGAUUGCCAAUAUCUGGUGAACUUGCAUCAAAUGGUUCAACACUGAGUGCAGUUCUUCGUCAUGGAAUCUCAACUGUUGGGAAACAGCUAAGAGGUGCAAAGGCUAUUGUUGAUGGAAAUUUGGUAAAAUGACUAAUGUUAUGAAGUUGCUAGCUUUUAGAUUGCUCUUUUUUUCUGUUCAAUGUUUGACAACCCUUUUAAUUUGUUUAUAAUAUGUAUGAAAGAUCAAAAGUGAUGAGCCAUGCACAACCGAUUGUUUACAUGAUGUUGAAUUGCUUCUGCCGAUCACAGAAUGUGACCCUUCUACCGAAGGUGAAUUGAUAUUUCUUGCACGUCUAGAGUAGUAGUACUGACUUUUAGCAGGGUAGUAUCUAAUAUUUGGAUGUUUAUGUUUGACUUAUAAAGCAUGCAGGGAAAAGGAUGUAGACGGUCUUCUUGUUUUUGGUGGAUCUGUUUCCUCUUUCACAUAUCUCAACACCAAAGAACCAGUUUCACAGGCCGUUGCUGACAUAAAGGUAUGUUGGGUUUACUAGUUGGUCUUCCUUCAGUUUCUUGAUCGAGCUUGCGGCCUUGAAUUACAAAGACUUAGAAGAUGCUGCUAUGUUCUUCAUGUUUAACAUCCACUCCUCUUACUGACAUUCUUCCCGAAUAAUGAUAGAGUCGGUCCUAGCUCAGAAGGCUGAGGUCUGGUAAUCCAUGGGGCCUCCACGGUGGCAAUGAAAGAGGGUUCAUUUUCCCCUUAACCAGGAAAAAAAUUAUAAAGUUGGUCUCAAGAUAUUGUGCAAGCUCCUCAUUUACAUGUUGGGUUACCCUAUAGAAGUUCUUCUGGUGAUUUUACCCUCUGGUCCUGUAUGGCCAAGAUUAUAAACAUUCACCCUCAACCUUACAUGGGACAAAUGGUUGAUUUCUUUGGAUUUGGGAACUGCUUAAUAUGCAUAUAGAAUUUGAGAUGCAGAUGUCUUUUUAUAUCCUCCCUAGAAUUUAUGACCGAAUGACGAAAAUGUUCAGUCAUCAGUCUUAUCUUUUCGAUGCUACUUUAGGACCUCCAAUCCUCCAUUCUCGCGGUGGAUUAAACUUUCCUUUUGUCAUUUUAGUUUGAUAUAGCCAGAAGUCUGCAAAGCAGACUGGAUAUGAUAUGUGUUGGAGUAGAUGAGGAUCUUGCUGAAAAAGAUGAAGGCCAUGAGGAAGCAAGCGACAACAAACCGUCUCAAAAUCCCAUUUCCAGACUUGUCCUCCACUCUUUAAGGUGUGUACUAUAAAUCAUUCUGUAGCCACUAGUAUAGAGGGAGGAUUAGCUAAAGCUCACUUCUUAACUUCGAGUUCAUUUUCUAUUUCCUGAUCUACGCAUAUUUAUUUAUUGCCCUACUGGUUAAAAACAGGAAAACAUGCCGUCUAGCCUUUCCGCGAAGAGUCUUCAUUCCUUGGUUGGCUGAUAUAUACAUUUGCGACUACCUGCAACCUUCAGAGACGCUUGAGGUCUGCAUAUUGGCUUGUCUGUAAAGACUAAAUAAAAAACAUGUCAACAGUGCACUAUACCACUAUUGAUCGGAAUGCUGUUUUAUUUUACUUUCACAGGUGAUAAACGAUCAUUGUGUAGAGUUGAUGUCGAUGCAAGCCCCGAGUGAUAGCUCAAGAUUCCUGCAGCCAGAAGAGGAAGAAGCUCCAUUUGUUAUCUCAAAAUCUUUCUGGGAUGGCAAUGGGGAUUCUUGUUUGGAUAAGAAGAGAGAAGUUGAUGCAAGUGCAGAUAGUAGCAUCAGAGAAACAAACGAGUCCUCUAACUAUAGCUUGGUAGCAGCUGUCUUCAUCUUUUUUUUUUGUUGGAAAAACGCAGACGUCUUCAUCUUAUUUGUAACCAUCUUGAUAUGUUUUGUGGUGGUUAUGAAAUCAUAGGUUUUGACGCAAGAUGCCGUACAGUUUUUGGGUGCAAUUGUGUUGGUGUUAUUAUAAUUAACGAGAAUAUUAAUUACUAGGAAGAACGCAGGCAACUGGCCGGUUAUGAACACGUUUAUCUAGUAAUUGGAUUUAGUUGUUCUUAUGGCUAGUUUUAUAAGUGUCUUUAAAUAGUGUUAUGUAAGUAGUUAUAAAGAUGAUAACUUGAUAGUGAUGAGAAUCUAAAUCUAAUGACCAAAGUUUCCACUAUAAUUAUUACUAAGUCUUUGCUUUUUCAGGUAUAAUGUUUGUGGACAAUGUACUAGUAGUGGGCUGAAGCCUAGCAAGUAAGCAAUCUUUUGCUUUUUUGAUAGAAAAUUAAGCAAAUGCUGAUUAUUUUAUUUUGUGGUCUCUAAUAAUAAUGAAGGUAUUCGAAAUCGUGAUUUUAUGAUUUUACGGUAGGAGUUCGAUCUUGAUUUUAUUGGAAAGUCGUUGGACAUUAAAAUCGUAUGAAUUGGGAGGGAAAAGGUAAAAUUCUAAACUCGUUUGAGGUAAAAUCGUUUGAAGAAUGUGUAUUUUGUGUUGCGUUUAUGAUUUUAUAAGUUUUAUAUUAUAAACUAUGUACUUUUAGUUGUUUAAUUUAAACUAUGGGUAAUAUUUAAAAUCUUAUGAUUUUACAAUUUAAUCAUACAAUUCCGAUUUUACUUAUAUUUUCAAUUUUACUCGAAAUCCACCAUUUUUUNNNNNNNNNNNNNNNNNNNNNNNNNNNNNNNNNNNNNNNNNNNNNNNNNNNNNNNNNNAAAGUAUCUAAUCUUUUCUAUUUUGAAUUUUUUGCCGACUAAAUCUUCUAUACAAACGAUUUUUUAGACCAUCUCCAAUGCAAGGUGUCAAAGUGUUAUUUCACACUCAAAGUGUUUCAAUGUAAGGUUUUAAAGUUCUAAAAUGCUAUGAAAUUCAAGAUUUAGUCCUAUAUGUAGCCUAAGAAAGUCUCAAAGUGCCAAAUUUAGCUUACUGAUCUAACAAUUUGUAUUCGCAGAGAGGGUUUUUUGAGAUUUGUGACUUUUUAUCGUUUCCCCUAUCGUUUUCAUUUUCGUCAUAACUUUUUUAUUUGGAUUCCGAUUUGAAUAAUUUUUAUAUUAAAAUUCCUAUCUUUCAAUGAUAUUUCCAAACUUUAAACAUUACGUAAAAAAUCAAAAUCAACACUUUGAUUCGCCAAUACACUCAAUAAUGCAACAUGUGUCUUGCCGUGACUUGUUGAUUCUUUUAGAAUAAUUUGACUUAUAAAUUUUAGGAUAGUUUGACUGGUUGAUGUUUUUUUAGCGCGCAAGUUUCAAAUUCAACUCAAAUUGGACCGAUCUCAUCAUGGAUUUCGACGAAUGAAACUCAAGUUGAGUUUAGAGCCCGAUACAAGUUAAAAAAUUCUAGCUUGAGUUCGAGCUCGAAUUGGUUGGUUUAAGAUUUUACACUUCAUCCUAAUCAACGUAAGGAAAGCUAUGUCUCCAUAUGUGAGGUAACGACAGACGUGAAAAACCCUUGUAGCUAGCUACUUCUAGUUAACUAUUGAUGACGAUGAUGAAUCAAAUCCACCAUUCUCAAGGAGUUGCAACUCAAUAGUCAAUAUGUAUUCCCUCGGUUGAUUUAAUGAUGAACAGUAAAUCCCAAAUUUGAAGUACAUAUCACUAACAACAGAAACUUCAGGAUUAAAUCAACGGGGUUAACCCUAAUUUGUAGGCUUAAAUCGCCAUUUCCAAAUCAGNNNNNNNNNNNNNNNNNNNNNNNNNNNNNNNNNNNNNNNNNNNNNNNNNNNNNNNNNNNNNNNNNNNNNNNNNNNNNNNNNNNNNNNNNNNNNNNNNNNNNNNNNNNNNNNNNNNNNNNNNNNNNNNNNNNNNNNNNNNNNNNNNNNNNNNNNNNNNNNNNNNNNNNNNNNNNNNNNNNNNNNNNNNNNNNNNNNNNNNNNNNNNNNNNNNNNNNNNNNNNNNNNNNNNNNNNNNNNNNNNNNNNNNNNNNNNNNNNNNNNNNNNNNNNNNNNNNNNNNNNNNNNNNNNNNNNNNNNNNNNNNNNNNNNCCCUUAUUUGGAGUCUAAAAUCGCCAUUUCCAAAUCAGAUUUGUAAAAGAAACAAAAACAAUUAAAGGUCAUAUAUAUAUAUUGAGCACUUUGCUUAGGACAUUCAACACUAAAAUCAAAAUUAUCAAAUUAUGCAACCAUAAAUCAUUUAUAAUAAACCCUAAACUAUAAACAAUAAACGCUAACAUCCUAAAAAAAAAAAAAANNNNNNNNNNNNNNNNNNNNNNNNNNNNNNNNNNNNNNNNNNNNNNNNNNNNNNNNNNNNNNNNNNNNNNNNNNNNNNNNNNNNNNNNNNNNNNNNNNNNNNNNNNNNNNNNNNNNNNNNNNNNNNNNNNNNNNNNNNNNNNNNNNNNNNNNNNNNNNNNNNNNNNNNNNNNNNNNNNNNNNNNNNNNNNNNNNNNNNNNNNNNNNNNNNNNNNNNNNNNNNNNNNNNNNNNNNNNNNNNNNNNNNNNNNNNNNNNNNNNNNNNNNNNNNNNNNNNNNNNNNNNNNNNNNNNNNNNNNNNNNNNNNNNNNNNNNNNNNNNNNNNNNNNNNNNNNNNNNNNNNNNNNNNNNNNNNNNNNNNNNNNNNNNNNNNNNNNNNNNNNNNNNNNNNNNNNNNNNNNNNNNNNNNNNNNNNNNNNNNNNNNNNNNNNNNNNNNNNNNNNNNNNNNNNNNNNNNNNNNNNNNNNNNNNNNNNNNNNNNNNNNNNNNAUAUAUAUAUAACUAUAACACCACCAUGGCCUUAAAUUUGAUAUGGAAUAAUUAAUGUCAUCCAAUCAAGUAAAACGUACAUAAAAAAAGAGGCCGACAAGUUAAGUGCAAAUAACGGGGACCCACAGCCGCAUUUAGCCGAGGUGGGUGAGCAUUAAAACGAAGCUAAUCACCAAGCAACAUCAGAAGUUAAUGGGACCCAAACCCAUUUCCAACUCCGUACUAAUCACAACCAAAUUAGAGUGUACGGCCAAAAACAGUGGUCUACCUAAACCCAACCAAACCCAGAAAACUAAACCAAAACCAGCAAAUUAAUAUCAUCAUAUCCAGCAGCUCCCCAUUCAUUCCGUCCGGUACUCCAUCUCCAUCGCCCUCUCCAAGUUUUCCCCACCUUCCCUUUCAAUUACCCAAACACGGGGAAACUCCUGGACCCAAAUUUUCAAUAAAAACCCCACACCAAUAUUCUUCAAUGAUCACUUCUUCUUCGCAGAUGGAGGACGAUGAUCGCCCCAUCAUCGGCUUCCCUCUCGGAUUUGCUCUUUUACUGCUCACUCUCAUCACCAUGAGUGCCGUCUUCAUCUGCUGCCUUCACUGGGAUCGCCUCCGUUCCUGUUGGGACGUUACUCCUACUACUGAUCAUGAUCAUGAUCAUGAUGAAAUCCACCAUAAAUCAUCGCCUCCACAACUGGUAUAUAAGUAUAAGCAAUAUAAUUAUAUGCUCAUACAUACUGGUUUUUUUAAAUUUUAAAAUUUGUCUGAUCCUCUCUGAAUUUUGGGGCUUGUUUUCUUUGAAUCGACCAGAAAAUGGGCAAGAUGAUGAGGGAGAGCCUGCCGGUGUUGAUGCCAGGAGAUCAAUUGCCAAGGUUCGUGGCCAUGGCUUGUCCCUGCGAGAAGCCGAUUCUAGUAGACACGAUUCAAGUUGAAGAUCAGAAGCCGCCGGCCACUCUGUUUCCUGUCCCUCCUCUGUUUUAGUAUCUUUGUGAUUUUGGUUUCUUUCUCUGUACAUGUUAGCCUUUAGGUGUUAGUAACAUACAUGCAGCUACUUAGUAUAUUUUACCAUAAUUUUUAUGUACGUUGUGUUUGAAAUUAAAUUUUUUUGAGGAUUUAGUGUAGGUGUUUAGAUUAAGACAUAAUGGUUUAGUUUAGAGUUUAAUUUUUGAGGUUUAUGAUUUGUUAAUUUCAAACUAUUACAAAAUUUAUUGUGUUCGUUAGGUAGCGGUAAAGGAAAAAUAAAUAUUUGCUAGCGGUAAGGAAAUAUUUCCACGGUCUAUUUAAGUGUUGCAUUUAACGGAUCUUAACCUUUUUCAUGUAAGGGGUUUUUUAAAAUCGUUUGAUUGAACUAUAUAAUUGGACGGUCAAAAUUUAUUUGUCGCUAGCAAACACACUUUUUCUUUGCCAGCCAUCUGGUUGCUUGAUUGGCAAGUUUUUUUAUUUGGUUCAUGUUGAUGUUCAGUCAACAAUUAUGAUUUCAGAAGUCCAACCGCAGUUGAAAUUCUGCAACCAUAAUUAAACUUUUCACAAGUUGAACUUUAGCCGUUGCAGCAAGAUUGUCACCGCAGUUCUUGGACUUCCACCAACGGCGGCAUGCUUAAACUACUGUUGCCAGACUUCAGUUGCUCACAUACUUCUGCAGACACUAACGCUUAACUUUCAUGUUGUCGCCAAACCGCAUAAGCCGCUGUCUUCGGACUUCCACUGCCAGGCUUUCGUCACCGUUGUAGGUUUUCACGGACGACGAGGCUGGUCUUUCUUCGGCCGUUUCCAGGCUUUCUCUGCCAACGCCGAAUCUCUGCCUCGUCGUCAGACAAACGUCUCACCUUAAUUCCACUGUCAUUAUUGUCUUCCCCCACCACCGUGUCGGGCUUUCGCUCAUGUCGCCAGAUUUUCUACACUACUUCAGCGUCUUCACCGUGCCACCGAAAAUUUGUUCCAUCGUACUACCAACUGUUGUCGCCGGAGUUCAGCCACUAUCAGCGGACAAUGGUUUUUGGUCGUUAGAAGACAAACAACGUAAUCAUAGCAAAUGUAAUUCAGACAAAAGAACCGUGGUGGAAGUGGGACAUUCGCCUAAUUGAGUUGACUACAGAAAUAUUCAUUACCGUGAUUAGUUCAGUUACGAUUGAGCGACCAGAAAAAUACGGUCAAGUGACUACAUAUAUUGAUCCGGUACCGUUUUGACCUUUGAAAAUCAUACAUAUACAUACGUUAUUUUGUUCCCCACAAAUUAGAAUCUGUAAGGUAAGUGAGCCAAAAAUAUCGAUAUCAAGCCAUCACUUUGGGAAGUCCAUGAAGUUAAAAUGGAUGCCAACUUCCAUGAAGAUUGUUGCCCCGUACACACACAUUUCCCUUAUGUUCAAAAUGACAACAAAAAGUGUAUUCCAUUUCCAGCCGCUUUCUUCUCCUUCCUUGUCUUCUCUGUUCAGCUGAUUGCUCAAAUAUUCUGAAACCUUAUCACUCCCCCCAUCCCAUGUCCCCCUUCCCAAAUAUGUGGCAAAGAAUGCGACAGAACAAACAUCACAGAUUGUCUAUUUUCCCAGACUUACAGUAGAAAGGAAGCAUAAACAGUGGGAGGGAGGAACCAAGGCAAGUAGGCUGAGAAUUGUACAGUUUAUAUAUUUACUCCAAACAGAAAAACGUGUUUCUAUGAGUCAACAACCACCCUCAGAACUGAAACGCAUCUGAAUUUAUUGAGUGCUCCCUUCAACUAACUAAUAUAAAAUCCCUCCUACUCAUGCCCCUUUGAUUCUUUACUCAUCUGAAUUUAUUGAGUGUUCCCUUCCCUCCCCUGAAACCCCCCUCUCCCCUCCCUUGCCUUCACCUAUAGCAGCAGCAGUUUCUCUGCUGUAAGAAUUAACAAGAAUGAUGAAUUUGUACGAAGAAAACGAGAGGUCAGUGAUUGGUGUACCUCUGGGAUUAAUUCUUCUGGUGGUGACUCUGUUAGCCAUGUGUGGAGUCUUCAUCUGCUGCCUUUACUGGGAUAGGAUUCCUCUCAGUUCCCCUCCUACCCACAACAACAAACCAUCCCCUCAUCACCUGGUUCGUAUAUGUACAUACUUUCAUACAUAUAUGUUCUGGGUUUUCUUGUUUUUUCUUUUAAUUAGCCUUAUGGAUCGAUUUCCUUCUUGUGUAAUUGCAACAGAAGGCGAGCAUGAAUAAAGUGGAGAGCUUGCCAGUUUUGAUGCCAGGAGACAAAGUCCCCAGCUGUAUAGCCAUGUCCUGUCCCUGCAAGCCGCCGGUGGCAAAUUUGGAGACCAUCGUUCAAUUGCCGGACAAACCUGCAGCCCCUCCUCUGUUUUAGUAUUCAUUUUCGGUGGUAGAAAUAAUUACGACUUUGAAAGAGGCGAUCACUCUCUAUUUUAGUGUUGAUUUGUAAUAUAUACAUAUUAUUGGAGAGUUACGGCUAACAACAUGUUGUGUCUUGGCGACAUCAAAAUACAGUAGUGGCAAAACAUCAGAACCUACAACUGUAAAACAAAGUCGACAGAGGAGACAACAAGUGCCACAAUAAUAUUUAUAUAUCCGAACAAGAUAGAGAUAGGGUAUCCAAAUUUCUUUUGGAACAUCCACUUACACGCCCGGUUAGUGGAUUUCCCUCAAUUUAUUAAUAAAUCAAAAGGGAUUCCAUUGUGCUGAGGCAAAGCCAAAGCAUGUCUCGUCAUGGUAGUAAUGACUGCAUUACCACACAAAAAAAAACAAAGUCAUUUCAGCACCGGAGAAAAAAACCGUCGCUAUUUUCAUGGCAUAUAGCGCGUCGCUUAAGAACCUUGCUGCGGAGUUUUAUUUCCAUAUAGCAGAAGGGUGGCCUUUGUGCUACGGUAGCGACCGUUGCAAAUGACGUACCUUUUUGCUACAGCUUUUUUGCUACGAUUUCUUCUGUCGCAAAUGGGUUUCUUUUUUAUUACAAAUAUUAUAAUGAUUCUAUAUUGGCCAUUGGACAAGCUUUUCCCAAAACUAUUUAAGUCCAAACUAAGUUUUAUUACUUUGUUAUACAUUAUGAUAUUAACUAUUCAACUUUGCUGGUUUUUAUAUUAUGAAAAUAUGCGCUUUGUUCACCAUAUUGUUUGAUACCUAGCUAGCUAGUGCGUAUACUUUUAAGAUAUAAAAUGUUAUAACUAAUUGCUGGUGAAGUUUUUGAACUGAAUGAUGUUUGUCAUUACCACUAAUGCAAGGACAAUGAAGAUAAUCUAAUCUUUGCAGUCUGAUUAAAUUAAGGACCAAGUCAAAAAGCAUUAGGCAUUAUCUAAUUAAUUUUUUUAAAUAAUGUAUCGAUGUUUCUACUGUGGGCAUAUUAUUCAUUUAUUAAGGCUAUGUUUUGGAUUUCCACUCCUUUUGCUAUUAUCACAUGACGUCACGAUUUAUAUUUUAGGAUUUCUGAAUUUUAGAAUUCUGACCGUUUAACUACUUUAAGGGUUAAUAUUUAAAAAAAAUUACCUAAGGUUAUUUAUAUACCGUAAGUGAAGUAGUGAAAUUGAUUGAUAAUUCUGUAUAAAAUUGAUUUUUAAAUCAACGGAAAAAUAAAAUUUUUUAUUUCCAAUUUAGUGAAAUUAACAACCGGUUGCCACAAUUGGUUUUCCAAAUUAUUUGAAAACAUGAUUCAUUUUAAUAAUUUUGUAAUCAAACCAAAUUAGAAUGAAAUGGAAGUGAAAUAAAUUAGUUACUACACAUUUACAAAAAUAAUUACAAUGAAGCUCAUUAUUUUUUUUGUAACAAAGAGGCUGAUUUCAUUGAUAAAAAACAAUAAGAGGCAAAGUUCAAAAAAGUCAUAAUAGCAGAAAAUAACAAAAACAAUCUAAAGUUACAAGCGAGAGAACCAAGAGGGAUCCAACACACCCAUUUGAGAUUCGGUUGAAUGAUGCAAGCCACUGCGUGUUCCAAAAAUAAUGCAGUUGAAUGAUGCAGUCCGAGAUUCGGCAGUUGAGAGUUGGCGGAGGAUUGCAACGAAAAUCAGAAAAAGCUGGGAACCAUGCAUCGUCUAAAAGAGUAUCUCUACCGUUAUCGACAUUCUUCCAGAGUCUCAAAAGAAGAGUCGUGCAUCCUUCAAGAAUGCUAUUCCAAAUCGACGAUGGCUGAUAGUGUCGUGAUGCUGAGAUAAAAUCAGAGUGUGGAAAAUAAAGGGCUUUUAAAAGACGAAUUCAGAGAGCUUCCGGCUUCUGAAUGAUCUACCAACCCAACUUAGCCAAAAAAGCAAGGUUAAACUGUUGAAAUCUUUUAAAUACCAACCCACACAGAAGCCUUCGAACUAGUGAGAACAUCCCCAGAAAUGCAAUGAAUAGAUCGGCAGCUACCAUCACCUGCCACCAGAAAUUACGUAGGACUGAAUCUAUCUUUUUGAGAAGAGUGUUAGGAAGCAAGAAGCAAGAGAAAAGAUAACUUGGGAUAGCUUGGAGGAUUGCCUUUGCAAGCGUUUCUCUGCCAUCGUGCGAAAGAAUAAGACUUUUCCACAAACUCGCUCGCUGCUGAAGACGCUCGAACAUGAACCUAAAAGUUUCCGACUUCGAGCACCCCCAAUCAGUUGGCAGGCCGAUAUAGGAACCAAGGGAGCCGUAACUGUGAUUCCGAAAGCACUGGCAAUUCGAAAUUGAACCAAUUCCGGUGUGUUCGCAGAAAAUUUGAUCGCUGAUUUGGACUCGUUCACUGCUUGACUAGAGAGGUGGCAAUAAUAGUGAUCAAUGGUAGACUUGAGGGUCGUAACUUCUGCCAUAAAUGCUUUCCCAAAAAUAACAGUGUCGUCAACGAACAAGACAUGAGACAAAACUAGACAACGGUGAUUCAACUUAAAGCCUUUUAGCUUACCCCGACUGAUAUCUUGUUGGAGCAUGAAGGAGAGGACAUUGGAGACAAUGAUAAACAACAUUGAAAAUAAAGGGUCCCCUUGUCGCAACCCCUGGUACGGGCGCAAAUACGACGAGGGUUGUCCGUUAAGCAUAACUGCAAAACGUACUAAAGUGAUAAUGCCUUCAAUCCAUGAAAUCCAUUGCGUGCUGAAGCUCAUAGCUGUCAAAGUGAGACCCAAAAACUCCCAUGAAACUCUUUCAAAGGCCUUAUUCACAUACAACUUCAAUAAAAAAAACAUGUUGCUUGCCUUUCUUUCUUAUUUUAAAUUUAUGCAAAACCUCAUGAACAACAAUGAUACAAUUUUGAAUGAAAUGGCUGCCCAUAAAUGCAAUGCAGAUUGAAGAUCAGAGAUGAAAGUUGGCAAGAGUAGUUGGAGUCGAGAAGCAAGAAUUUUCGAAAUAAUUUUCGCCCAAAAAUUAGAGACGAAUGAUAUAAAAUACAAUAAAAAUAACUACAAAUGUGACUGCAGAGAUUUUGAAAUCGUGGACCUGAAAGGAAACAAAAAAGGAAGCCCAUCGGUCCAAAAAAUGAGGCCCACUACAAAUUGCUUGCUUAUUUUUCUUUUUAGGACACCUCCCUUCCCUGAUGACCGUAAUGAGCCGCUCCACAAAGUAAAAGAAGAGCUAGCUAGCUUCAGCCUUCAAGGGUUAACAACUUACCAAAUUUUGCAGAGGUCAAUGGAUCGCCUUGCCAACUCGAACUGAAAAACCGGCCAACUGGGUCGUAAAGUGUUAGCAGCCACUCCACGUCGAGAGUUUGGGCUUCACGCUGUAGGCCCGAAUCGGCUGGCAUUGAUUAAAGAGGAUCAACGGCUGUGAUUGAACCAUCUGAAGCACGCAGCCAAUCAUAACUCCCCGGCAGUACGAUCAAUUUUAACUUUUAGUAAUUAUUGUAUGUUCGGCGGUUUAAAUAAUAAAUAAAUAAAGAAGAAAAAAAGGAGGAAACAAAACGAAAAAGCUGAAGCAGAAAAGCAAGAGUGUGUGUUUUCUUAUUCUAUUCUUUCUUCAAAAGGAAAAACAAAUGUUGGGCUGAUUAAUUAAUUUUAAUUUUAAUCAGACAGCAAAUUAGCUUUUGUUAUUUUGUGACAAAUGGAGGGUCCUUAGUUCUCUUUUUCCUCUCCCCCACCCCUCAUCUCUCUCUCCCUUCCCUAUCAUAGUCUUCUCUUCUCGGGAACCAGUCUCCAAAUCCGUCUUACGAUCAACGAUUCCGGUCAACCUUAGGUGAGGUAACACUCCCUUUUCAGCUACUGUUGAUUCCUUUGUCCAGCGAUUCUGUUAAACCUUCGAUUUUUUAAAUAGCAUCUAAGCAAAAAUAAUGGAGGUUUCGUUUCAGUGAUAGCGGGAAUUUGUUAUUUCUGAAGCUCAACGAGUGGAAGGUGAAGUUGAUUUAUCAUUUUAUGUACCUGGAAUGGAAGUUGGUUGUUGCUUGCACGAAAUUUUCCAGCAUUUUUCUUGCCUUUGCAAACGGAACAUGCAUCUAACUUUUUCUUGCUUCUCUGCGCCUGCGUUUAUUGUGCCAUUUUUCCCAGCUUUUCUUUUUUAAAAUAAUAUUAUUUCAGAAACAUUUCCUGGUGGCUUUGUCGGCCUUCUGUUCUGGAUUUGGCAUACAGUUAUUAUUAUCGUCUGCAAUUACUUGGACCUUGAAUGCUUGCUUCUUCAAUUUUCUCUUUAAAUGCGUUUUGUCCUUUCCUUUCCUUUCUUUGAUUCUGGGCUGGAAUUCUCGAUUUCGAAGAGCUUAUUUGUGGAUCUAUCAUCAUCUGUUUACCUUGUGCUGGUAAUUCGGAAGAAACUUUUGUUAGUUGUUCUGAUUCCCGAUGAUUUAGGUCAAGCUGGUUUGCUUCUCCAUUUCCUUAUGUGCUUUUUUGAACUUGCAGGGUUAUAAGUAAGAACUUGUUAGCAUUUUUAUUUUGUUCGAUUCUUCUGAUGACUCCGCCACUGCUUGGUGGUGUGGAGGAGGGUCAAAUCAAUGCUUCUCUGCUUGCUUCUUCGACAUCCUUGGAAAGUGUUUGCCAAAAUGGGUCUGCUGAACUGAAAGAGCGCAACUACAUGGGGCUUUCUGAUUCAUCUUCGUCUGGAGAUAGCUCCGUUAUCUCUGCCGUGACCGGUGAAAGCAAGGCUAGGCUGAACCUUAAGGCGACAGAACUUCGGCUUGGGUUACCUGGAUCUCAAUCACCUGAAAGGAAUUCCGAGCUUUGCUUAUUUGGAUCCAAUAAACUCGAUGAGAAGCCCCUCUUCCCUUUGCAUCCAGUAAACGAGAGCAAUGGGUCUUCCACGCCGAAAACUUUACUUUUGGGGAACAAAAGAGGGUUUUCGGAUGUCAUGGAUGGAUUCUCAGAGGUAAAUAAACACAGAUGAUUGUACUUGCAUGAGAUACUCUCUCAUUCACUGACUUGAAACUGGUAAUCUAUGGUGUUAACAGGAUAAGUUUUCUUCAAAACAAGAUGUAAAUGGGAUGUUGUCCCCCAGGCCCUCUCAUAACAUGGGACUGAAGCCAGGUUCUAUUCUCGAGAACCUGUCUACUCUACCGGCUAAAGCGAAAGAGGCCGUAGCGCAAAAUGCUGCGCAGGAGAGGCCUCAUGGUGCAAAGGACACUAGAUCAAGCAACAGCACAACACCGGCGGCUAAGUAAGCUAUCAUGUCUUUCACUUUCUGUUAAGCUAUGCAUGGGAACUGAUAAGAAAACUGGUUAUCUGGCAGGGCACAAGUUGUGGGCUGGCCUCCUAUCAGGUCCUUUAGGAAGAACUCACUUGCUACCUCCAAGAAUACUGAGGAAGUAGAUGGAAAGGCAGGUGCUACUGCUUUGUACGUUAAAGUGAGCAUGGAUGGUGCCCCCUAUCUUAGGAAGGUUGACUUGAGGAACUAUUCUGCAUACAAGGAACUCUCUUCAGCUCUUGAGAAGAUGUUCAGUUGUUUUACCAUAGGUAAGAAAAAUCUUAGUUCAAGUUAGAUGGGUAGCACUCUCGAUACUAACUUCUUUUCUAGAUAAUUUAUGUUAUUUUUCAUUUUUGUCUUUUGAUAACAGGUCAAUAUGGAUCCCAUGGAGCUUCAGGUAGGGAGGUGCUGACUGAAAGCAAGUUGAAAGAUCUGCUGCAUGGUUCAGAAUAUGUUCUCACCUACGAGGAUAAAGAUGGUGACUGGAUGCUCGUUGGUGAUGUUCCCUGGGAGUAAGUAUUAACCGUUUUAAAUAUUUGUACUUGUUUCGCGACUCAUUCAAUCUAAAGGCUAGGGUUUUGAGUAGAUGUAACUUGUAAAGUGUGUGUUGAAUUAGACAAAGUAAAACACAUAGUGUGACAUUUUGUUUUCUGAUAAUAGCUUAGAUUUUACUCCUCUGUUAAUAGGGUUGAAUAACAUGUAAGAUGAGAACUUUUUUCCAUCACUGUCAGACUAGUUUCAGUAGAAAUGGAGAUAUUGCCUGUCCAUGGAUAACUUGUAGGAUGUGUAAUGACUACAGCCAAACAAGUGUAUUCUAUAAAAGUGUUAGGAGAGCGUGCGAUUCACCAUGUUUAUUCUGAUACACUCCUGUUAUCAACCAUGAACUGGGAGAAGAUGGUCAGAUGACCCUGAAUCUUUAUACUAUGUUAGCAAUUCCGUGCUCUGCUAACUUCCUUGGCAAUGUCCAGCAUUGAACAAUUAUCAACUUAAUUUUUGUGGUUAUAAAUGAUUAUAUGCUAUAGGAAGUGGGUUGUGUACUUAUCUGAAACAUUCUCUUUUGUUUGUUAAUAGUUAGUAAGUAUGCUUGGAGAGGUGGCACUAAUACCUAAUAAGCAGUCAGCUGCUCUCUGUACCUGGUUCUCUAAUUUAAGCUUGUAUUGUUCUACAUUGACUUAUGUUAUGCUUGUUUUCUCCUUUUUGAAGUUCUAGACUUCCCUCUUUUUUCAUCCCACCCUCGUCUUUAUUUUCGUUCAACAUUCUGAAUUAUUUUCUUUGAUCUCUUUCUAAUCUGGCAACGUUAUUUAUUUCAUUGUUUAGGAUGUUUAUUGAGACCUGCAAGAGGUUGAGGAUCAUGAAGGGUUCUGACGCCAUUGGUUUAGGUGGGUGUGUUAUUUCAUGAAAUAUACUUGUAUAGUAAUAUAUUGCUAUCUGAAUCAUCAAGAUUACUUUAAUACACUGUCAUCCUUUUAAGAAUGAUUUUGAGUUCAUGAGACUCGAAUAAUAUACCGUCUUAUCUUUUGUUGAUUCACCGUAUCCAUUAAUCAGUUAUAGAAUUGUGGCUGAUACGCUGAGUGAUCAAAUCUGUUCUUACAUAUUCUAAUAUGGUAGGGUUCACAAUCAACUGCAAAAUAAUUGAUCACUAUGUAGAGAGCAUUGUUCAUAGGAUAUCUUAUGCACGGAUUUACAAGACUUGAUGCAUGUUCAGUUUUCACCAGACAUAUUUGUUGAAAUUGCUAGAUUGGCACACAAUAAUUGAUGAGAGGCUGAUAUUUCAUAAAGUUAACAGUUGUGGGUGUGCCUUUUUGUAUGGGUUUGCAGCUCCAAGGGCGGUAGAGAAGUCGAGGAUCAAGAACUAGCCAGCAACGGUGCCCAUCGUGAAUGCCAUUGAGUCCAGCAGCUUAGAACUUUGGGUUGGUGAACAGAGGAAGGAGGAGGAUGGGUAAGGUGGGUUGAUGAUCAGGGCACUUGUUGCUGCUACUUAUCUGCUCUGCUUGAAUAGUGUGGGGUAUUUUAAUUUUAACUCCGUUUUUUGUUUGUGUUGUUAAGUUGAGAAAGUAAGUAAUGUCUGUUGGAUGUGAGUUCCCUUUGUAGAAACCUUUGGUUCCCCAUGAAGACGCUAGUAGUAGUACAUGUAUCUUGUGUGGCCACUGCAACUGCAAGCAAUGCUAAUUCUAUUUUGGUUAUUUAAGAAGGAAAAAACGAGAGAAGAUGAGAGUUUGAGAGUGAAGUUGUCGUUUGAUUGCUACAGAACCUAACUAUUGCUUGUGUUGUGUGGUGAUUUGAUGAUUCCUCACUUCAUUCUUUAACUACAAUGUCUGUUACCUCUCUGUACAUAUAAUUGUUUACUACGGCGGACUGUACUAGAAAACCAACAACCAAGAGAUAAGGUUGUCGGGAGACAACAAGAUUGGAGGAGAGGCCAUGUGAUGUGGACAGAUUCUUGCUCCAUUAUUAUUGGGUUGGUUGGAGUUCUCUCUCUCUCUCUCUCUCUCUGCAUCUCUGCAUGCUUACAUAAUUGAUGCCCUUUGGUGGGUAGGAGGACAGCAGAAGAGUUUGUAUAAAUGCAUCCUCCUUGGGUCCACAGCUCUGUCGAGCAAGUUUGCACCUCCUUAUGUGGCAUGUGUAACAGUUUAAACAGGUCAAUGAGACCGAGCCGGAGCGGGAUGUCGUUGGUGAUAGACUAUGGUCGAGAUUGAAGAAUAGCGAAUUUAAGCUUGAUGAAGAGGGAGCUUGUGAUAGGAAAGGAUCUAUAAACUGGGUUGAUGUGGCUUGCCUGCCUAUUAAUGAAAACUAAUAUGGGCAUAAGGGCUGUUAUCUUAAGAUGGACAUAGAAUGGUAGGGCUGGAAGUUCGGAAAUGGGAUUCGUGAAUUCCUGUUUCCAUUGUAUUGAAUAAUUUUUGGCAUUCGGGUUCCGAUAAAUCAAAAAUUCAUUUCGAGCCCGGGUGAAGUGUUUUCAGGAACGAUUGUUUUUACGUACGUCGGGUUUGGGAUUCCCUGAACAUAUUUGAGGCAAAACGUUAACUUAUCUCUACUCUAUAACAGGUUUAAGAAGGUACGUAGUAACAGAGAGAGAUGGGAGUUUGGAAAUGUCUACUUGAGGAAAGGAGCAAAGGAAUUUGGAUAAUUUAAAAUUAGCAAUUCUUGUAUUUAACUGCUCUUAAAUAUGAAAGUGGGGAUUUGAUCACCUCAUAUUAAUCAAUUGUUUUAAGUUAAAAGUUUCGGUUUGGGCUCAAUAAAUAUUAAGCCCAACAAUUAUUAUCCAUACAUAUAAAAGAAAUCUUUUGAGGCCCCAAAUCCCAUUUAUACGAACAGCUCCUCCAGCGAUCCAAUGUACGCACGUAAACUUGUCGGCCUGCUCACUGUCUAAUUGUGAUGGCAACAUCUGUUCAAUCAAAACACCAAAUAAUCGUUAACCUUAACCUCGGAACCAUCCUCAACUGGAUUAGCUAGUCAGUGGGUCGAAACCAUCCUCAACUGGAUUAUUUAGUCAGUGGGUCGAAUAUCAGAAUAUAUACAAAAAAAAGAAUGAAUAAUGACCAAAACGGGUCUAGUGCUAAAUUGAAUACCACAUCGUUAAGUAUGAGGUUACUUGAUGAGUUUAUAAUUUUCUGGACACUUUCCCCUCCCCUCACAAGCUAUCAUUGGGGGUUGAGUUCUAUUUAGGAGGUUGUAACAGUUGGUAUCGUAGCAUGUCCCACGACCUCUUGCAGAGGGGGCGACCCGCAAAAUAGAGCAGGCUGUCGUAGACGUUGGUUCGGACUUCGGAAGUGUUGUGGUAUAUUACGUGCCCAAUUGAACACCACAUCAAUAAGUAUGAGAUUAGCGAGUGAGUUUAUAACCUCAUGGACACCAUCUCCUCACAAACUAGCGUUUGAGGAUGAGUUAUAUCCAAAAGAAUGUAACAAGAGAUGUUUAUGACUACUUUAUGUCGAGAUUUUCAAAAUUCAAAAAUAAACAAAAAGCGUGUGUGAGGAGUAAUUAACCCGGGUACACCCAAAAUAGGCAAAAUUUCUGGUUAGAAUUGAUGUUCUUCAUGUUAAUCUAUGUGAACUCGUAAUGAUAAGCGUGUUUCUUUGUAAUUUACUGUUUUGAGUAAUUAAUGAAUGGAUAGAACGUUGAAACAAACCCGGUCCAAUGAAGCCAAGAAGCAGAUUGAAGAUGUAUAAAUUAUACGACAACCUCCAGCCAAACUAAUAACUCAGAUUGAUGGUCAAAAGAGAGCAUAAAUAAUUAUAAUUAUAAUUAUAAUUUGUUGUAUAAUAAAGUAUGGUUCUUACGUCNNNNNNNNNNNNNNNNNNNNNNNNNNNNNNNNNNNNNNNNNNNNNNNNNNNNNNNNNNNNNNNNNNNNNNNNNNNNNNNNNNNNNNNNNNNNNNNNNNNNNNNNNNNNNNNNNNNNNNNUGAUUAAUAAUUAACAAAAAGAAAGAGAAAACUGAUGGGAUCUCUUCCAUGUGAGAAUAAGAGAUUUAUUUCUCUCUAAUAAUUGCCAUGUGAUCGAGGUGCCAUAAUUCGUCAUCACUCCCAAAUCAUUAAACCUUACUCAAUAAUAAUAAUAAUAAUAAAGUCUUUUAAUUAUCAUGCUAUAUUCAUAUUUAGAUUUUAGGCCACUUGACUUGCCCUAGCCACACUCAUUAGUUGCUAAUUUUAACUUUGAAGGUAACCAACAUUUGGUGGGUUUAUGUACUUUCAUUUUGGUAAAUUAAAUUAUAGUAUUUUACUCGCUUUAAAAACGGCAACUGUUCUAAUUAUUUUUUUGUGGAAGACCUGACGUAAUCAGUCGGACAGAUUCUGAUAUGGUAACUGAAUAAUAUGAAAGCUCAUAUUAAAUAAUGAAGUAUAUGUGACUCACAAAAUUUUACCAACAUCCUUAUUUUUUAUACUCUAUAUAUAUAAUUUGGCUUAGUGCACUAAACCAUUUAGAACAUGCCGCUCCACGCUUGUAUCACCACUUCAUUUCGUGUCUAGCUAUUAUUGCAUUUGAUCGGUCAGUAAUAUUAAUGAGUAUUAUCGUGUCCUUAUUCAGUACACUUUGUGAGAUGGAAGUCGUAUUCAGUCAGUCUUAGACGUUAAUUAGCAAUGUAUAGUGAGUAGCAAGUGGUUUAUUAAGCAAGUCAGCUAGCUGAUGAGUGGCAGGGAUGUGACUAACUCGCAUAUCGCCUUUGUGAGCUCUACUUAUGGGGGAAAUGACAGUCGGGAGCCAACUAUGCAAUCACAUUAGUAGCAGAGACAACAACAAGUGUGAAUUUUCUUAUAGUUGGGAGGGGUGUUCAAAAGAGAUUGAUACCGCAAAGAGUUUAAGAUGGUAAUCUGGUAUUGAAACAGAGAGUUGUGGCAAAGACAAAGGACCAAAACAUGGCUGGGAAAUGAGAAAGAGCACACCUCUUUCCACAAUGUGAUGAUGUUUUUGUUCGACCAGACCAUUAUGUCCGAGGUAUAGUGGAGUAUGGUGUGAGGAGAUGUGUUAUUCCAUGGGAGGCGUAGGUGGGCUGGGAAUCAUCAGUCCACCAAGUCUCGGAAACCUGGCUACGGUUCCGAGGGAUAGUCCUGAUAGAUUUCAGGUCGUCGGAUUAGAUUACUUUUGGGUCAAUUGUCAUCCAACGGUUGGAAAUGAGUCAGACGAAUUGACUUGAAUGGGGUAGUUUCGGAACCGACAAAUUGGAAAAAAAUCACAUUAGUGUGGUCAUUGUACGAGUAUGUUAUGUCGCUAAUAUAACCAUUUUACGGGCUCGUUAUGUUGUUGUUACAUCCACCUUACAAGUAGUUGAAUACAUCAUCGUUAUGUCCCGUUUACAACUUUUUUAUGUCGAUGAUCUAUCCACUUUAUGAGUCUGUUAUACGUUUAUUAUUAUGUCGACUUUAUAUGUAGAUUGUUAUAUCCACGUUACAUCAUUGUUAUGUCAUUGUUAAAAAUAGAAAGAGGAGAGAGAAAGAAAAGUUGAAAGAAAAAGAGUACUUUUUAAAUUUCCGUUAUGCCCCUAAUAAAAUUUCAACCAUCAUAUCGAAAAUGUCUAAAAUAAUUAUAACCGUUGAAACGGCUGUCGGAUACUCUUGGCUCUCGGAGCCAUAGCAAUUUUGAAAUCCCGAAGACUAUUAAAUUCCAUAUGUGGGGUGGCUAUACUUGAGAGUCAAAAAUAAUAAUUGGAAUUCAAAUUUUUAUUAGCAAUGUGGUGCUUCGGUCGAGUUGGGCCAAGUUUUUUAUCAAGACCAAGUUUCAAUUUAUGAACAUAUUUUUAUAAUAUUCCCCUACCAAANNNNNNNNNNNNNNNNNNNNNNNNNNNNAUAAAAAAUAGUUAAUAAUAAUAAUAUUAGGUUUUCUGUACGCCUUGGUCAGUGGGCCCGCCUUCCUUCCUGGGUCCCGGUCCCCACAGAAGAUUCCAUUUUAAUUAUCCACUGAUUUAAUUAAUUAACUAACAUUAAUUGGACGAAUGGCCAACUUUUCCUUCUUUCUUCUUUAUUAAUUUCUCGCUAACUAGAAUCAACGAAUUAUUCGUGUAAUGGUGAUAAAAGCUAUAUUUGAAAAUUGUUUAGGAGAGGAAUAAAACCUUAAUUCAAAACAAUUCCUCGACUAAAUGAAUUGAUUACUAAAGUUUACAUAAAAAAAAUGUCCCCCCUAACCAGUAGACGUGGUUGCACCUGAUUAUCAGCUAAUCUCAUAUAUACAGACAUGGGUUUUAGUUUUCCCAUUCCGGUGGACACGUAGACGCAGGGUGGGAGGGUGAAGUCCACGAGGGCUCUGCUAGGCUGGGCGAGUGAGCUGUGUGGGUUAGUGAAAGCGCGUAUAUAGGAAAGUAAAAAGAGGAGGAAUGGAGCGGGAGGCCUGGGGAAAGGGAGAAACAGGUCGGUGCAGGGAACUGAGUGGACAGUGAGACUAGUACGUAACGUAACGUGCUCCAGUGACUCAAAUCACCAAAAUAUGGCGCCCAAAAUCGUUGACCUUGUCCUUCUUUAUCCAUCUACGUACUCUCUAUGCCUUCCAAACAAACACUGGCCGGAGCUAGCGUAAAACAAUGGACAUACUCUGUGAAAAUUUAUGAAGUAAAACCUUUAUUGACUUAACCGGACAGAUAUUGAUCGUAACAGUAAAAAAAUACUCUGCUAAAGUAAUCAGAGAGAAGAGUCAACAAACAAAUUCCCAAUAAUUCCAUUUGGACGUUAAUUAAGUGGGCAGUGGAGGUUGAAUAAUAAUGAGCUAACUUAUUAGUUUGUCAUUAUUGUUGUUCAUAAUAAUUAAUUAAUCAAUCACUGACCAAAAGUAGCGGAACAAUUUGUUUGGCUUAUUGGUUAUUACGAUUAUUAUUAUAAAAAAAAAGGGGGAAAGAAAAAGAAACAUGGGUAGUGUCUCUGAAUGAAGUAUCUCUUGUCAAAUCAGACUGGCUAACAUAACAUGCACAGUUAUUAUUAUACAAAAUUAAAAAUAAAAAUAUUCCUUGAUUUAAUGUAUCUAAGAAGACUUUUAGGUGGUGUCACAUUAAUUAUUAAUUAAUUAAUAAUAGGGAUUAUAAAAGUAUUAGGACAAUGUGGGUUGUGUAUAAUAUGAAGGUCAGAGAAAGAAAGAGAAGCAGAUGCAGUAGAUCUCAAAUAAAAUACCACCCUUCCUUCUUUCCUUUCUGCCAGCUUUUGAGAUUAUCGAGACGAUACACAAAUAAUAAUUAAAUUAUUAUUAUUAUUUACCUUUGGGGUUGAAAAUGUUGCUGCCAUGCCAUGCCAUGCUGCAGCUCCUCCCUCCUCCUAUUACUACUCCUGAAUUCCAUCAAUAACCUUUUUGUCUUCUCUCUCCAUAUCCUCGUCAUCAUCUCUUCCAUCCAUUCUUUUCCUUCUCUCUACUCAAAAGGCAACAAAAAGGAGAGGAAGAAAGCUCUGAGUCUCAGGGCUUUCAAGUUUUUCAACACACAGAACAGAAAACCCCUUUUGAUCAUCACCUUUUCCGCUCGCCGGUCAUGGGUACUGGGUGGAGAAGAGCCUUUUGUACUACAGUGCCUAGAGAUAAGCACCUUCCCAAUCCCACUAGUCCUCCUCCUCCAACUACUUCAACCCCCAGGACGACUAAGAAGCUCUCUUUCUUCUCCUCCGGAACCAGUAGCAGCACUAGUAACCCUUCUACUCCUCGUCUCCGCCUGAGAUCUCUUUCCAGUCCUUCUUUACGCUCCCGCCCUACUACCACUACUACUACUAGCUCAUCAUCAGCUAAUGUCAACAAUGACGACACUACUCCUACCCUCCAUUGCAAGACUACUCAUAAUACCCCCAGAGCAACAACCAAGACUACUGCUACUGCUACUCCCAAACCCAAACUCGCCUCCAAUCCUUCUUCCCCUCGCUCUCCUCUCAAGCUCUCCCUCUUCAAGAACAGCUUUAAGUUCAGGGUACGUGCGUAAUUCACCUUCUUCUUCUUCCCUCGUUGAUUCCAAUAUCCGGUUGUUGUGCUUAUCUUCUUCUUCUUCUUCUUCUUCUUCUUCUUCUUCUUUCUGUUGCAGAGUAGUUGCGGAAUCUGUUUGAAUAACGUGAAAACAGGGCAGGGCACGGCGAUUUACACGGCGGAAUGCUCUCACGCUUUUCACUUCCCUUGCAUAGCUGACUAUGUUCGUAAGAAUGGCAGCCUCGUCUGUCCAGUCUGCAACGCCGCCUGGAAAGAUGUCCCUCUCCUCGCUUUCCACAAGAAUCUCCAUCCUCAAAACCAACCCACUACGGUCAAGCCUCCAAUUGAGGACAAGAGGGUGGUCAUGGUUGACUCUUCUCCCAGAGCGGUCAAGACGGUCUCCUCUAACUCUAAGCUAGAACCGUCUCCCCCCAAAUCCUCCGAUUUCAGAUCUUACGAUGACGACGAGCCCCUUCUAUCUCCCACCGCCGGCGGCAGGUUUAUCCCGAUUCCCGAGGCUGCAGAUGAGAAUGUCGACGAGGAGGAGGAAAUACAAGUCGAUGUCGAGGAGUUUCAAGGAUUCUUCGUCAAUCCCACUCAUUCAAUGAAAUCCGAGGAGACGCCGUUGAUCGGCAGGGACUCCAGAACUGUUCAGGUCAGUUUGUUACCUGAUUCCGCCGUCGUAUCCGUCGGCCACGGCUCCGAAACAUAUGCGGUUGCAUUAAGGGUGAAAGCUCCUCCGCCUUUAGUACAAUCGGUAUCGAAUAGAGGUAACGCUUCUGCGACGAGUCGAGCUCCGAUCGAUUUAGUUGCAGUACUGGAUGUCAGUGGUAGCAUGGCCGGCCCUAAGCUAUUGAUGCUGAAACGAGCUAUGCGUUUGGUGAUCUCCUCCUUGGGAUCGGCUGACCGCCUCUCUAUCGUGGUUUUCUCAUCCGUUCCGAAGCGACUGUUGCCAUUGAUGAGGAUGACAGCUCACGGUCAGCGUGCAGCUCGGCUCAUCGUUGACCGGCUGGUUUGCGGUCAAGGGAGCAGUGUGGCUGAAGCUCUAAGGAAAGCGGCGAAGGUGCUGGAAGAUAGGAGAGAGAAAAAUCCGGUGGCGACGACUCUCAUUUCGUGGAACGGCUGGACUACGGUAUUGAGCUCCGGCUCGGUUCGUCUAGGUGAUCUGUAUGCAGAAGAAGAAAGGGAGCUAUUGGUGGAGCUGCGUGUUCCGUCGUCGGCGGUGGGACGCCAUCACGUGAUGUCUGUGAGGUGCCUUUACAAAGAUCCGGGGACAGAAGAAGUUGUGUACGGACGGGAUCAGGCGCUGCUAGUUCCAAGGCCGCACGCCGUCCGUUCGUCAGCGCCGAAGGUAGAGCGGUUGAGGAAUCUAUUCAUAACGACGAGAGCGGUGGCGGAGGCGGGGAGGGUGGGGGCUGGUGGAGCACAGCAACAAUUUCACGAGCGCGCAUCACUUGCUGGCGUCAACGAGGGUGUUACUAAUGCAGUCGGAGUACGAAGGGGCGGAGGAGUACAGGAAGGUGGUGGAGGUGGAGCUAGCCGAGCUACACUGGAGGAAACAACAGGAGAUAGAAGCGGGGGCGAUGAUGAUGCAACGGCAACGGAGGAGAGGAGGAGAGAGGGAAGCAGCGGCGGUGAUGACGGACGAGAACGGAGAGCCGUUAACGCCGACAUCGGCUUGGAGAGCGGCUGAGAAGCUGGCUAAGAUGGCUAUGAUGAAGAAGUCGAUGAAUAGAGUGAGCGAUUUGCACGGCUUUGAAAACGCGAGAUUCUGAGCGUUUCGGGCAGACGGGGUAAAAUUGGAAUUUUAGUUUUUCUUUUUCCUUGAUAAUUUGCUUGCUAGGUUCAAACUUCAAAGUAAAAGCGGUUUGUACAUUUAUGGGAGAUGAAUGAGAAGUCGAUUGAUCAAAACGUAAGAUUAGUGAAUAGUGGAUGAUGAUACCACAUUUUGAUCCACCAGCGCAGUGGUUGUCGAGAUUCUAACCUUCUUUGCGGCUCGUACGUUUUUACAGAUGUAGGUGGUCUGAUGAGAUCUAAACUGAAUUGUUCAUAAAGUGACGAGACAGAUUUUUUCAUAUCUAAUUUGUCGUGAGAAUAUUGAUCUUACAAUUUAGACCAAUGUUUAGACUUUGUUUGCUUUACUAUCUUGAUUUUUUCAUUCCAAAUCUAUCUAUGAUAAAGAAAAACCUCUUCACCUUUUUAUUUAAGGAAACAAAACAAAAAAUCAGUGUGCUCCAUUCCUGUCUCCUCGUCUGAUAGGAUAAUAGAUCCAAGCCCAUGUCGUUCGGUAUCAAGGCCCAACCCUCCUUCGUCGGAGAGUAGUAUUUUCGACGUCUCCUCGUCUGAUAGGAUAAUAGAUCCAAGCCCAUGUCGUUCGGUAUCAAGGCCCAACCUUCCUUCGUCGGAGAAUAGUAUUUUCGACCACAACUCAUAUUGUCGGCAGUAGUUAAUUAUUUAGUUGAGUAUUGUUGAAUUGGUCAUUAUUUUUAAAUUAGUCUUAGUAUUCGAUUUUCUGUUGCAUUCUUAAGGGAUCCAACUCCACCUUUAGGGGGAUGUGGAGUUAGGGAAGAGGAAACUAAGUUUGCUGUUAUUAUAUGUAAGCUUUGGUUAAUAAGAAAUAGGUAAACAAUUAAAGUAGUAAAGAAAUUCCUUGUUGUUCUUGCUAAGAAAGUAGAACGAGAUCAUCUCCGACCGGAAAAUAGGAGUUACCGAUUCUUUAUCGUAUCAUCGUCAUUCCUGUCUCCUCGUUCAUGUGGAAGGCAUUGCAAAUCAAAGAGGUGAAAGAAUUGCCUAAAGUUUCACCUUCCUAAGCUAUACUUGUGCAUAGAGCAUUAUUUCGCUGCACCUAGAAAACACAAGUAGAAUGGGAUUGUUGAAUGUAAAAAUCGAACUCUUAUUGAAAUUGACAAUAAUUCUUAUUGGACUGACGUGCGAUGCGGAAAAGAUUAAGUAGCCGUUGGGACUCUUAAACGUUUGAUCUGCAACACACCUCGUACAGAUUUUGGUCAAGGAAAUUUCACGAGUAGAGUGCAAAGUAACAUGUAGUUCUUACAUCUGUUGGUGAGCUGAGUGUUAACUACUACACAAACUAGUAUAUCGGGACUGACACCAAAGCUAACAAUUUUAUGAAACGUGGUAAAAACUUGUGUUUGUGUCUUCUCCUUACGCAACUGUUAUCUUCAUUGUUCGCCAAACCCCACUAGCAGUGAAGCAAGCAGCUGUUCUUCGUCAUGGUGCGAUGUGUAUAUGAUGGUUUAUAGUAUGGCGGCGGAGUUUGUAGUGGAUAGAAACCAUACAACGAUUAGAACUUGUCCCAUAAAGAAUGUCGCUAUACAUGUCCCAUGACAAGAUAGAGAGUGACUUUUCGAUUCUGUUAAAAGUACUUGUGUGGUGAGGAUGAUGACCUUGUGUGGCUUUCUCUGGAUCCCUUAUUUCUCAAACAAACCCAACUGGCUUUUUGAGGAAUACAGAGGUCCGCUCCACGUUGCUUGUCUGACGAACUCAAAGUGGCUUUGAAAUCACCCAGAAUACAGAUUCAAGCUUUUUUGAAACGUUUGUUAUUUUUUAGAUCUGGACGAAAAUACCACCUAAUUAAGUACUUAUAAUCCCUAAUCCAACAAGCAAACUGUAUAUACCACCAUGCAAGCUAAAGAUAUAAAGCAUAAGCAAAGUGGAGGCUUUCCAACUGCACCUCUACGUAUACUGAACAUUCAGCCACUCACCCACCAAUGUAAUAUGCUCCAAAUGGAACUCUAUACCUAUAACCCGUGGAAGCAAACAGUAUCUGGUACUGGUAUGACACCACACAUCCAUGAAUUGAAGACCACGCGAAGGUUCAACUCAUUGUCCCCAACAUGAUCUAAGAAGAAAAAUAAACCCCGAAAAGUUUCCGAUAAAUAACAAUGAAGUCUGCCUCCUCGUCCAUAUAAACACAGCAAUUAUACAUAGGUUAGGAAAAUCGAUUGAUUGUCUGAUACUUAAAAAAUGAAUCGAAGUAAAAAGGAUUCCAUCCAUGCAGGAGGGUUCUUCUUACUUCUGGCCGGUUUUGGCUCGAAUCUUUUGUUCCAGGAUAGCUAUUUCUGUUUCCAAGCUGAACAUCCUGUUAAGCGCAUGCAUAUUCUCAAGUGUCUCAGUAAGAGUACGGCUGCUACUCCCGUCGCAUCUUAAGUGCUGCAUCGGUCCGUGUAAUAGCUUAUUAACAAUGCCGCGACUGAGAUCAUCUACAGCUCUCCUCGUCUUCUUUGGGAUCUCUUCACCACCCAUUUUCGAAAGACAUUUAUCCAGCUCCGCUAGCCUGAUCCUCUCGGCAUAUGCUCUCAGUUUCUUGAUGGUUGGUACAGUCUCGAGCGAAUCCCUCCAAGCUUCGAAUUGCUUCGUUUCCUCAGUGAUGAUAUCUAGAGCUUCCAUUGCUUUCCUGAGGCGAUCCUCUUUGUUAGCAGCUACAACCUCCUUAAGGUCGUCCACGUUGUACACGCGAACGUUUUCAAGGUCAUUAACGCACGAGCCAACAUUCCUCGGAACAGAAAUGUCGACAAAUAAUCUCGAGCCUCCAACUUCCGAGCUAACAGCUGGGAGUUGCUCGACAUGUUUUUUUAGAAACAGCGGGACAUCCGAUGCAGUGCUGGUGAAUACCACAUCGGAUUCAGCUGCACAAGCGAGCAUGUCAUCUAGUGGUCUGUAAAUGAUCUCCGCAUCCUUUAUCUCUUCUCGUAUGGCCGCCACUCUUUCCUCCGAUCGGUUAACAACCACCAUCUUCGUGCAGCCUUUCGCCGCCAAGUGCUGCAGCCUUUCGCCGCUAAGUGCUUGAUCACAAGCUUCCCCAUCUUGCCUGCACCGAUAACCAACAUUCGGGCAGUGGAGUGUGCGGCUUUGGGGAUUUUCAUGAGUGCAAGUUCAACUGCAGCAGAGCUCACUGAAACAGCCCCAGCAGCAAUGCUUGUCUCCGACCUGACACGUUUCCCAACGGUUAUUGCGUGUUUGAAUAACCCGCUUAUGUUCCUGCCAAACCCAACAACACCUUGGCCGACAUUCACAACUUGCUUAACCUGCGCGAGGAUCUGACCCUCUCCGAGAACCAACGAGUCGAGACCAGCAGAUACUUCAAACAAGUGGCGCGUUGCAUCGUUGUUGUAGAGCAGGAAUCGGUGCUCGCAGAUUUCUGAUGCAGGGAUGCCGCUUGUCUGAGAAAAGUAAGAGAUAAUUUAGCAUUCUCUUAAACUUAUCUUAUCUUAGCUAUAAAUACGAAGUUACUAGGACAUUGAAACAGCAGGCAUGAAAAGAAGUAAUGACCUUGGACAUCCAGUCGGUGACUUCUUUAACGCCACGAUGCUGAGAAAGGGCUACAACAUAAAUCUCCAUACGGUUGCAAGUACUGAGCACGGCAGCCUCUUCAAUAUGGUUGAGGCUACAAAGUUCAGCAAUGGCUCUAGGCCAUUCAGCUUCUGGAAUAGCAAGCUUCUCACGCAUCUCAACUGGUGCAGUAUGCACGCUCAGUCCAAUUGCCACAAUGCUUGCCCUUUCCUUUGUAUAUCCUGCGCACAGUGUUUGUUUUUAUGAUAAGCACAAUUUGAAAGAUGGGAGUGUACAUCACAUCAGAAAGCAAUUCAAUUACACGGCCGAACUCCCAAUCAGUCUAAAUUACGAAUCUAUUCUUAUUAUAGGCGAGACAAUCAAAUUCUAAAGAAGAAAAGAAAAACUCACUAUCAGCGGCGGAUGUCUUGAGCUGCUCAAGGGCAGACUGGCUAGAAACGUUGUCGAGGCCAAUCCGAGUGUCGGCAGUCUCAACCACACCAUCUUCUACAGAAGAAGCGGCGGUGAUAUCAAAUCUGAGUCCUCCUCUCAGCAUUGAACUCUUAUUUCUGCUCCUGGAGCAGUUGAUCUUCAGUUGAGAGGUAGCCAGAUAAGCCCGGAGAGACGAGGGCGACCCCGAUGAGGAAGCCGACGGGAAUGAAGUAUUCAACAAGAAAGCCUCCAUCUUGGCUGCUGCCAAGGUAGUAGCGACACCGCUCGAAACAGCCAUUGUAAAAACAAAGUAGGAAGAGAAUUGAAGAGUACAAAAACAGCGAUUAAUAGUUCUACUACGGCGCUCCGAAUCGGAAUCCCAAGACNNNNNNNNNNNNNNNNNNNNNNNNNNNNNNNNNNNNNNNNNNNNNNNNNGGCGCCUGUAACACCCGCCCCACCUACUACAGGCGAAGCGGCGGUGAUAUCAAAUCUGAGUCCUCCUCUCAGCAUUGAACUCUUAUUUCUGCUCCUGGAGCAGUUGAUCUUCAGUUGAGAGGUAGCCAGAUAAGCCCGGAGAGACGAGGGCGACCCCGAUGAGGAAGCCGACGGGAAUGAAGUAUUCAACAAGAAAGCCUCCAUCUUGGCUGCUGCCAAGGUAGUAGCGACACCGCUCGAAACAGCCAUUGUAAAACAAAUUGAAGGGUACAAAAACAGCGAUUAGUAGUUGUACGGCGCUCCGAAUCGGAAUCCCCAGCCAAAAACAGCCCCUUUUGAAAUUGAGAAGGGGGAGAGAGGGUUAUUGCCUAUAGGAGAGAAUUACGACUCUUCAACGGAGCGCCGGCUGCUGCGUUAUUUGGUGGAUUUGGUCGCUGGUUGUGUGCUCGUUUUAGUUAUGGGGCUCGUUCGUUGAAAAGAAAGAAAAAACAAAAGGGAACAAUUUGAAGGAAUUGACCCACCCUCCACCUGCUACCGCCUCCUCCGAUUUCGAUAAGAAAAAGGGCUCAGCUAAUCGCGAUUGAGGG